RNAcentral lists this ribosomal RNA (233 nucleotides) under uncultured bacterium. RNAcentral's name for it is "partial 16S ribosomal RNA". It matches the Rfam family "Bacterial small subunit ribosomal RNA", at positions 118 to 350 of the family's 1533-position model. The record is from RNAcentral.
UGGGCAACCUGCCCUCAGCUCUGGGAUAACCCCGGGAAACCGGGGCUAAUACCGGAUACGACCUCCGCGGGCAUCUGCGGAGGUGGAAAGGUUUUCCGGCUGAGGAUGGGCCCGCGGCCUAUCAGCUAGUUGGUGAGGUAACGGCUCACCAAGGCGACGACGGGUAGCUGGUCUGAGAGGAUGGCCAGCCACAUUGGGACUGAGACACGGCCCAGACCUCCGUACGGGAGGCA